UCGCCUGAGGAUGAGCCCGCGUAGGAUUAGCUUGUUGGUGAGGUAAAAGCUCACCAAGGCGACGAUCCUUAGCUGGUCUGAGAGGAUGAUCAGCCACACUGGGACUGAGACACGGCCCAG
Molecule: ribosomal RNA, 120 nt
Filed under: uncultured bacterium
Lineage: Bacteria
Description: partial 16S ribosomal RNA
Rfam family: Bacterial small subunit ribosomal RNA
Source: RNAcentral